GAGGAAUAUUGGACAAUGGGUGCGAGCCUGAUCCAGCCAUCCCGCGUGAAGGAUGACGGCCCUAUGGGUUGUAAACUUCUUUUGUACAGGGAUAAACCUAGAUACGUGUAUCUAGCUGAAGGUACUGUACGAAUAAGCACCGGCUAACUCCGUGCCAGCAGCCGCGGUAAUACGGAGGGUGCAAGCGUUAUCCGGAUUUAUUGGGUUUAAAGGGUCCGUAGGCGGAUCUGUAAGUCAGUGGUGAAAUCUCACAGCUUAACUGUGAAACUGCCAUUGAUACUGCAGGUCUUGAGUGUUGUUGAAGUAGCUGGAAUAAGUAGUGUAGCGGUGAAAUGCAUAGAUAUUACUUAGAACACCAAUUGCGAAGGCAGGUUACUAAGCAACAACUGACGCUGAUGGACGAAAGCGUGGGGAGCGAAC
Molecule: ribosomal RNA, 420 nt
Filed under: uncultured bacterium
Lineage: Bacteria
Description: bacterial SSU rRNA
Rfam family: Bacterial small subunit ribosomal RNA
Source: RNAcentral